UCGAGUCCAGCGUUGGCUCCGUGCGCCAGCUCGGCGGGGUCCUUCAUGGUGCCGAAGGGGCCCCCUGUCUUGGUGCCGACAUCGAAGGUGCCAGCGGAGUGCCAGCUGCGAGGGGUGAGUGGGAGGUGAGAAGCACAAGCCAGAUCGGGGAAUGGGGCGGUUGGGGGAGGCGGCUUACGCGAGGCGGAGCAUGAGCGGGGCGCAGUUCUUCUCGGCGAUGAGGCCGCGGAGCUUGCGCUUGGCCUUGUCGAUCGCCUUGAGGUAGUCCUCGCUGACCGUGGGGUAGGCCUUCACCAUGGCUGACGUCACGAUGCGCAGGAAGGAGACUACGGGGGGUGA
Molecule: long non-coding RNA, 339 nt
Filed under: Setaria italica (foxtail millet)
Lineage: Eukaryota; Viridiplantae; Streptophyta; Magnoliopsida; Poales; Poaceae
Description: long non-coding RNA (SITA_LNC001741)
Source: RNAcentral